GCGAAAAUCAGCCUGUUCACGUGCACACGGCCGCACCCAGCCCUGGACAAAGAUGCUGGAAACUUCCCAGCUCUCUGUCCUCCCCGUCUGGCUGGGCCCCGAGGAGGGAAGGGCGGCCCGCGGGAGGACAGAGGAGGAGCUGGUUUUCUGCCCUAGGAAGUUACUUUUCACCGCAUCCUCUUGAAGACUGCGUGUGGGGCCAGGGCGCCGGAGGUGAGCUAGGCAGAGGUGGGGCUGGGCCUGUGCGGGCAGCGACCGCGCCCAGGGCGUCCAUCUUCUUCUGGAGUGAAGGGAGCUUAGCUUCUCUGAGCAAAGAAGCCUCCGCCAAGACCCCUCUCUUCUCCUUCCUGUCGUUACUGUGUCUUUUUCCCGUUAAAAGUGCUUGUGUUUACCUUACACAAACUGUUCUCCAAAAUCAGCUGUUCUGAAACCUACGUAGAAUCUAGGCCGAGCGAUACAGUGACCCCGGAAAGGACAAAUCGAUGAGAUCGAUGUGAUUUGUGUUCUCGCCCGUGUGUUUCCCGGCUGCUCCCUGGUCACUUAAUGCUGGUGGCUCCCCGGGGACGCUGGCUGCGCUGACAGUAUUGAUCGCCCUGGCAGGAUGAGGGGCGGGGGUCCCCGAGGACGCAGGGCCACCCCAGCACAGCCAGGUACAGAGGCACGCCCUCCGCGGGCCUUUGCUGCUUCCUGGGGCCACACGUCUUGGCAUCGGUGCUGGUGGCGCUGAGAUGCCCAGGGUCCCCCCCGUGCCCACAGCCCCAAGUCCCAGGAGGGAUGUGCUUCCUGCACUCCCACACACACUUCCUGGGGGACGGGAGAAGGGAGCCCUGCCUGGACCAUCGGGGACCCUUCUAUGCGGCCGUGGGUCCCGGUUCUGCUACUGCAUAGCUGUGUGGCCUGGGGAAGGUCACUCAGAUUCUCUGUGCCUCAGAUUUCUUCUCUGGAGGGGGAGCGGGGCUGCGGGGACUGCCCGCUGAAGAGCGCAGGACGUGGAAAGCACGACCGCUUGUUUUACGGUAUUGAAAACACCUGCUUUCAUCCGAGCGCGUGUCACUGAGCAGGUGUGCUGAGUUCCUGGCUGAUCAGGAAAACUUCACGUUCGGAAGCCCAGCCGGGAGCCCUGUUGGCAAUCGGGUCCUCGUGGCCGUGAUGAGGCAAGGAUCUCCACGAGAGCAUCCCGGGUGGGGGCGGGCCCUAAACCCAGGACUGGCGACCCCGUAUGACGAGGAGAGAGCCCAGAGGGAGGCCGCGGUCACAGCCCCCGGAAGCUGGAAGAGGAAAGGGCUGGGGGCUCCCCCGGAGCCCGCGGGAGAAACCGACCUGCAGACCCCACGCCGUGGCCGCGGGAGGACAGGCUCCUGUCCUUCUCAGGCACCCAGUCCGGUGGUUCCCGGGAAGCCGGCAGAGGCUGGUUCCCCAUUUUCCCUCGAGGCUGGAGUGUCAGCAGGGUCACCGACAGGUGUCUUGGGGUCCCGUGGAUGGUGCCCUCAUCUCCGGCCCUUGGACCACACCCCUGUCCUUGCUGCUCUGCCCUGGGGCUUCUCUCUGGCCGUAGACCUGGUCCUGCCCUUUCUGAGGGGGCCUUAGUCGAAGGCCCCUGAUGGUGCAGCAGAGUCCCCAGUCCGGUGUGGGCUGUCAGUCCUCCGCGGGGCUGCCCCUGACCCCCGCCCCCAGGUGCUCCUGUGUCGCUGCCUCAGCGGGGUCGGCAGUCUCCCCGGGUGCGUCCCUAGCGGGGAGUCCUGUCCUGCGCCCGGUGCCUCCCGGGAUGGCAGUUUGAGCAUCUGCAGUCCCAUCUGUAGGACGGACAGACCUCAGGGAGAAGAGCCCAGGGAGGGCUCCUUGGGAUGACGGUGCCCAGUCCUGCAGAACACUCCCCUCCUGGGCAAGGUGACCUCCAAGUGGCCCUGUGACCCACAUACCCGGGAAAGAAUCAGUCCACUUCCUAGAGGGGUUGGUGCAGGGGGAGCUGACGUGUAUCUGUGCCUCCUUCCUGCUGGGAACUUAGGUGCAGGCGCAAUCCUGUUCAGCGUCGCCACCAAGCUGCUCCACGUCUGUCACGUGACACGCUGGCUUGAGGUUCAGAAGGUCACCCGGCCGCCGGGAAGCUGGGCAGGCGACCCUGCCGCGGCCGCAUCUUGGCCUGGGUGGGCUGUGGGCAUGUCGGCCUGCCUGCUGCCAGCCUGGCUCGUGCAGGGUCAGCGUGGGCCCUCGGCGGGGGACGGACCCUCCUUCUGCAGGACGGCCGUGGACGUGGAGGAGCCAUGCUCGCCACCCACGAUCCCCCAGGAGGAGGAAGACCCUCUUUCCUGGGUUGGUCGGGACCCGGAAGGGGAGGGGCAGCCCCCCACCCCCACCCCCACCCCCAUCAGGGCCCAUGGCCGUGAGCUUGUGGGUCACCUGGCAACUUGCCCCUGCAUCAACGACCAGGCCGGGGCCUGGCUCUGCCCUGUGCCACCCACUCUGGUGACAGGCCACCUUCGUCGCCCGAGGUGCCUCCGUGCUCCGCCUACCCCCGCCCCCUGCCUGCGUAACCCCCUCCUGCCGUCCCCGUGACCAUGCCUGUCCCUUCCCGUCCAGCGCCGCCCAGGACAGUCUGAUGGGAGCCACACGGAAAGUUAGAAGCGAAUGUGAUCUUGACUCGAAUGAUGUCGUCUUUCGUCCGUGGUCUCCAACCUGCUCGCGUUUGCACGUGAUCUGCAUGAAGCCUCUUAACCAGAGGGUCUCUGUUUAACCGAGUGUUUGCUAAAGCCUUCAGGUGCUCGGCGGUGGCCCGUGGUGACGGCUGGCUCAGCCCAGACCCUGAGGCCGUAGUCCCCAGGCCCGGCCGGAGCUGAGCGGGGCCAGCGGGCUUGGGCCGCUCUUGGCGCCAUCUGUGGGUACUUCCGUGUCACCUGGGGGCGGCGGCCUCUGCCGCCGGGGUUGCCGUGGCGGUGCGGUCAGGAGCCCGGCGCUCCGCGGGGUGCCCGCCCGUCCCGGGCUGCUGGGCCACGGCUGCUGGCGGGAUGCGGGGCCCUCUCCUCCAGGGUGUGGCUAGAGAACGGGGGCGCGGCCCGUCCACGCUGGCAGGGCCUCGUCCUCAGGGGCCUCCCUGGGCGGCAUCUGGGAGGGGCGCCCUCCCCGGCUGGCCUCCCAGGGGGCGAGCUGGGCGCAGUCCGGGCCGCUGAGGGAGGGCCGGCGGGGCUCCGCACAGAGGUGGGUGUGAGUGAGCCACGCGCACCUGUGUGGGCGGGUGUGCACCUGUGACCGUCACGGAACGUGAGCUUGUUUCGAGUGUCGCGCACCCCCUGCCCGGCCUCGGGAGGCGUCAGGACCCUGCUGCCCGGCAGGCUUCCCCCGGCCUUCCCCGUUCCCUGGGCACCUCCCCCUGCCCCGGGAGGACCAGCUUGUCUGUGCGUCCUGGGUGCGAACCUGACCUGGAGGGACCCGCUUGCCUUCUGCAGCCCGGAGUCCUCGCUCCAGCCAGCUGUGGUGGGAGCCGCCUGAGAACCACUGGUUCGGAAAAAGACCGCAGAUAUGCUCAUUACGUGGAAAACUUUUAAGCUCAGAGACCUGGAAGAGAAAACAUGAAUGACCUUGUGUCCACUCUACCCCUAACUACCACUGCCAUCUGGUGGUUUCUGUCUUUUAACAUAAAUUCUGCGGCUCCCUCCCUGCUCUCAGGGCUUGAUUGACGGCUUCCCACUGGGGUUACCUGCCACGAGCCACGCCUCGCUGCCUGCUGAGCAGGUUCUCCGGGGGUGCGAUCUCUCGCCAGACCGCGUCCCUGUGUUCCUGCGUCCCAGAGCCUGGAGCCCUGAUCCAGAGGGGUGGACAGUGAGCACAGAGCCUGGAUCAAAGAUGGGCCAAUCCUUUGGGAUGUAUUCUGAAAAAUCGGGAUGAUUUUGAUCCACAAAUCCUGAAGAGAAAGCGACUCCUUUUUUUUUUGCAUCGAGACUUAGCCCCAGUACAAAUCGGAGGAGGAAACCUGGCCGCCAGAGGGAAGUAUCAGUCGUAACAUCAUCCUACAACUGGACUUACUCUGUAAACGUGAGGGGAAAUGGAGGAAGUCCCCUACAUUCAGUGUUUUGGGGCCUUAAAAAAAUGAGGUACGUGUAAGCAACGUAAGGUCAAUCCUGGCCUGUUGGCAGCCGUUUCCGAGGGCUCACGACCAAGAAGGGAGGGACCUAAGGCCCUGCCUGUACCCACAGCAAACCCAGAGAGAGGAAGGAACGUCUCCUACCUCGGUCUCCUCCUCAUCGGGUCCUCAACGUCCAGACUUACAAACAUGCGCUUCUCCCUGCCGCCCUGCCCGUAACGUGGCCGACAUGUGUCCCCUACAAGAAGCUGGGGUGCAGGAAGGGGGACGCGGGGAGGCACGGCCAUGCCCCAGGUAGUCGAUGGAAGCUACAAAAAUUGGCUGUUGGCCCGGAAGGGACCCUGGAAGCUCUUACGAACUGCCUAUCGGGUAUGUUACAACCAAGAUAAAGAGGAGAAUGAAGAACCGGAAAGGAGGCUUAAAACGACAAAACCGAGGCCUUUGCCGUGGCCUUACGUACUAUGUCAGACCAGACUUCCCGAGGCCCUGGCACCAAGUGCCAUUUAUGUGGCUGUUAGGGCACCGGAAACGAGAAUAUCCUCAGAGGGGACAGGUUGAAGCCCCUCAAUCUGCCAGGGCUCAGGUAACCAGUGUCCCCGAAAGGGCUCUCAAACCUACCACCUGUUGGAAGCUCAGAGCCUCGGUAACUCUGGGAACAGAGGGAAAACCGACUGAUUUCCUUCUUGACCGCGGAGCCACCUGGUCUGUCCUUUCCGCUCCUGGCCGAGCGUCCAAACGCAACGUAAGGACUAGAGGCGUCUCCGGAAAACUGAGGACUAAAUUUUUCUCUCAGCCACCGGGGUGCAUGUGGGAAGACCUAGUUUUUUCACAUUCUUUUUCACAAUGCCAGAGAGCCCCCCCCCCCUUUGCUGGGAGGGACAUUACGACUGGAUGAGGGACUAGGGUGAUACUGGCCCCAGGACACAUGAACAGUUGCCUGAACUUACAGUAAUCUGGAUGCCGAAGGUCAGUCUCCCCUUGAGGUAAAAUUCUGCCUCAUGGAGUUGUUCCCAUGGAAACUGGAUGGCCAGAGGAUGGAGAGCCAUGAACUGGUUCAGGAGCUUAAUCAUUCUAAUCAGCCAUAACACAAGAUCCAAAAACAUGGUUAAAUUGCCAACAACAAUAGGACCAGACACGUCGGGGACUCUGGAUGGCUACCGUGUGCGUGUCUUCCCUUGGCGUGACCCCCUCCCUGGGAGGCAGCGCAUUUGGAAAUACUAUUGCUUGUUGGUCUAAUACUGUUUGUAGGUCAUUUGUAGAAGCUGUUGCACAAGUCAGGAGAAUAAGACCGCCAAGAAACUUCCGCUAGCCCUGACGUUCCAAACACCCUCCCAUCACGUCCGCCUCCGGAUGGACCUCUGGGCCCGCCCUGACUGCCAUUCCCCUGUUCCCGCUCCCCUUCGGGAAGCGGUGAAGGUGGGGGGUCAUCAGGGUUCCUAAUGGUAGUCGGGAGUCACGUGUUCAGAGGGGGGUAGGGAAAGACAGGGUUACAUAGGCAGAGAGGGAAAGGUUAGGACCCGAGGCCACUGCGCGGGAAAAGCACAAGUAUUUUGCAACAGUGCUGGGAGCUGCUGACCACAGCGAACGCCCUGGGGCGUGAGGUUCCUAAGAAUGCGACAGAGCCCACCUACUCCCCUUCCGGUUUCCCCCAGGAACUUGACGAAAGACUUAAGUGUGGCCAUAGACCGCCCCCCACACGAUGGAGUCGGGCCCAUCGGGAGAGGACGGUCCAGCACCGGGAGCUACCAAGCCAACAAGGAAAUAAUCAAGUCGCUCUGUCGGUUCCGCGUCACGGACUCCCGUCGGAUCUCUGACAUCGGGAGUCUUGUCGUUGCACUUUGGUGCCCUGCCAGUGUCCUGCGAAGGCACCUCCCUCCAAGGAGUCACGGAAAGGACUGACAGGUAGGACCUGACAUCGUGAAAGUGAGCGGGAUGAGAAAUUCUAGAGCUAAUAACGAGGAAUGGAUUCAAGCAGAACGAGUAUUAGAUGGAACCGAAUGGAUUCAGAACUAUAAGUUUACGACUUCUGCUUUGAAACACUGUUCUUUACCUUUUUCCAAACCUAAGAAAGCCUUCUCUUAUGGGAUCAGCAAUUUAAGAUAUUGCUUUGUGAACAAAGGUAAACAUUUUUCUCCCUCUUUGGCCCCUCCAGAAUUUGCAAACUUCAUAUUCUUGUGCAAGUGUACUGCCACUCAAAGGAGUGAUUUAGGAAUCCGUUCUCGUAACAGGACAUGAUUGGGAAUGUUGGUUAUAUUACCGGGCUCUGACCACAAGGUCUUAUUUGAGGGAGAUGUAAAGACUCCGAGAUGAUCGGCUUCCAGGAACUAAGGCUGACCUUAAUGGAGCCUAUGAGGGCCUUACUUACAGGGUUCCUGGCGGCCUGACCCGGUGAGGAGGGAAGGUCGCUUCUUGGCAGGCCCAAGAAUCUCAGGAAAUGUUUGGAACCUUGAGAAGAGAGGAAUUCACCCAAAUCUGUAUGUAUUGCAGGCAAAGUCUAAUGAUGGCUCCUUAGCGCGGCUUCUCAGCCUGGAGAGUCUUUCAAAGUUCACGGGAGAUUCCUUAUGGAAAGUCUGAGCAAAGCGGACUUAAAAGUCUGUAUGGUGAGCACUCUUCUUCUGCAGUUAUGUAAAUAACAAGGCCAAGGUACUGAAACUGUGAAAACAGAGUUAAUCUUGCCGUGAAUGUGGGGGUGACUGUAGAGAGAAAUUACGUUUCAGUAAUAUGCCUUCGCAGACAGCAGAUUCUAGUGCCGUGAACGGCCCGUGACGUUUUGUUUUUACCUGUAAACCGGACUAGAUCCUGAGUUCUUCUAUUUUCUUCCUACAUUUGGCUGCAACUCUCCAAACUGGCAUUUCCAGUUCACCCCCUCCCCGCCACCAGUCCUUCUGACUCGGAAUCGUUGAGAACCACAACUGCCCUUUCCCUGAAGCCGUGCAGGUUACAGCCGGACGCCAUCACAUAAAGUUCAGAGAAACCAUAACGGCUCACGUGUGGAUAACUGCCGGGCCUGCUGCUGUGCGGGCCACUCGGAGAGCUCGCCAGACGGCCUCCCUGCAGGCCAGGGCCGUCUGUCUUGUUUCCACUGUCUGCUCCACCCCACCUGAAGAUGCCGCAAGCCGGGCAUCUGGACGUCUGUGCGCCUGGCUGCCUCCGGAACUCACCGAGACCGGAUCUGCUCCCCAGAUUAACCUUCGUUUUUUGUCUCCCCAGAAAUGCCUCUUAUUAAAUAUCUGAUGACUUGCCCCCAGACCUAACUCGGGAGCCUCCUGAAACGGAGCCGGCUGCUUAACCGAACGGCCCCGUCGUCAGGACUGAGAGGCUGGCUCAGUGAGCCGGAGCGGUCCAUCAGCCCAGAAGUUUCAGAGGUGGGACCGAGGCCGGGAGAGGAUAUGUGACCCCCAGAUAUGCUGCUCUGGCGCGUGGAUUAAAUUGAGCUAAAGACCAUCAGGAUGUAGCAGAUUUAAGAAAAAACUUGCCUCUCGCUUCUUGGAAGGGUUUGGACAGGAGGCCUAGCCCCCGGCGGGAGCUGUUACCGGCUAUGAACUUUUAUCUGAAUGACCCAUACGCACAGCAGGGCAAACCUCUCAUGACUGCAGAUCCGUUGUCAUUACGGUCCUGUGAAGCCCCAGGCCUCCACCCCUUCCUCCGCUCAGGACGGCAGAAGCCUCCGCUGCCGGGCUCGUCCCGGGGUCUCAUAUUCUUAUGGGGCCCCUGUAUGUACGUGAUUAAACUUGUCUCCUGUUAACCUGUCUCGUGUCAGUUUAUUAGACCAACCGAAGAACCUAGAAGGGUAGAGGAGAAAACUCCCUCCUCGAUAGUGUGUAAAUACUGCACACGUGUCCUGACCCUCGGGACGAAAGACCACGCAAGGACACACGUCCCGGCCCGCCUGCUUGUGUUACGCAUCAGAAGCCCCCGCGUCCCGCUCCCUGUGACGUACAAAACACUGAAGAGAGACGGUGGUUUCUUUCACCCACCGCCAGGCCUGUCCAAGGUGUGUGGUGCUGGCUGAAAACGAAUCAGAUGAGGACAAGUGACGUGUUUACUUCUGGGCCGCAAAGGAGGGAACGAGAGAGAAGGCCGUGUGUUUGGUAUUUCUCUGCCUUUAUGCUCACCUGGACUGGAGGAUUUACAGAGAAUGGGUGGUUGGUCAGCGUUCCUCUGCGGACAGUCAGAAUGAAGAGCGGAAGCAGGUCAGCUCCCGGGAAUAAGAGGGACGCGGUGCCUCACACGGACCCCGCCUCCCGGACACCACGUUCGUGAACCGUGGCAGAGUCGCGGGCACUCGGCCGCCUGGAGUCUAACAAACCGCUCGCCUGAGGGUCUGGGCCCGGCCGUGGCUCCGGGUGAAGACGACCCGCCCCCGGGCCCCGGGGAAAGGGGUGUCCUCGGAGCCAGCGGUCAGGUCAGGGUAUCCGCUCCGGCGGACGUGCUGCACAGGGGCCCCGUGGCCCCAGAAGGCGAGCGUCCUACGCCAGCUUGAGGCACUGUGUGUUGAAGCUGUCCCCUUCUUUGCUGGCGACGGCCUCGAGCAGAGCCUGCUUCUUCUGCGCGCUGCGGGAGGACUCCAGCUCGUACAUGGUGGUCAGGUUGAAGAGCACGCUCUCGUGCAGGUAGUGCGUGGGGUCCUGCUGGACCAUGGCCUCCAGCUGCCGCAGGGAGUCCUUGAGUCUGCCCAGGUAGAGCAGACACACGGCGGCGUUGUUGUUGGCCUGGACGGGAGGGACACGUGCACGGGAUCGGACACGGCCACCAGCCGGUGGCCCCCGAAACCCUCUCCCAACCACCGUGACACCGGCCGACGGCUCAGGACGGGCCCACAGCCGCGAGCUCCUGUGUCCUCUAGGAUCUUACCACUGCAUUUGUCGGCUCAAUCCUUAGGAUUUCUGUGAAGAACCUGUGGGCUUCUGCAAAGUUAUUCUGACCGAGGUGAAGGAAGGCUCUGGAACGUGAACGACAGUUUUCAGGGAGGCGGCAGAGGAGGACCGACGCUCGUCUCCCGCCGUGGAUCAUAGAAAACACGCACGUUACUGCUGACAACCCAGAGGGCGAUCCGAAGCCCGAAGAAUAAACACCAGGGGUGAAGGCAGGAGGCCACACGGGAGAGGGGGAGGGCAGAGAGGAGCUAAGCCCCCACGGGCACAGAGACGGGUGAGAAGAAGGUGAUCACAGCAGGGAGCCCAGCCGGGAAGACAAAUCCCCAGAGUGUCUGGCUCUGAAAAUCAGAGGGGCCGAAUUUUGUGAGUUCUUACAAGCAGCAGGACUUGAAGCCCGGAACUUUGAAAACCAGCGGGCUUGGGCUUGGGUUCUGGGAGAGAAGGGUGAUGGGGUGACGGAGAGCUGGGUCCCUGCCCGUAAGGGACAGCACAGCAAAUGGUCCGGAGAUCCAGAUUAGAAGCAGUGUCCUGAAAGAAGCCUGGGGCGUGAGGGAGGGAGAGUGGGUUCCCGAGGGACUUCUCCAGGAGCAGAGGAGGGGGCAGGGGCCGUCUCCCUCCCCCGCCCGCACCAGGACACCUGCACUCACUACCUACCCUUACACCUUGCCCUGCCCCAGUCCUGGUGCCGUGGGUCCCCUCGCCCCGGAGACCGGCUUGCCAACAGUGCGGCCCGACUUUCCCGGGAGGAAGCACCCACCGUGUUAAAACCGCAAUCCCCCUCCCCCCGCUCAACAGGAUGAAUGUGCACACUGCCCGCGGGUGCUUUGCAGGGUGGCCCCGGCCGGCCGGGUCUCCACAGCAGCUACGCUUCCUCUGUGGAAGAGAUCAGUGCCUUUCAUGAAAAGCGUGCAACCUGCCUGCCACUUUCAAGAGCGAGAGACGUAGCAGACUUUCCCAAUGCACACGCGCACACGCACACCCACAGUGAGGCAAAGCGAGGGGAAGGGUAUGUCCCAAAUGAAAGGGCAGAAUUGUGGCAAGAGACCCAAGUGAAAGCUGGAGGCCGGCGGUGCCUUCCAGAGAAUUCAGUGAUCACGAAGAUACUCGCUGGACGUGAGGCAAGAGUGGAGGACAUCAGGGAGACCCUCGGCACAGAGAGAAAAACCAAUCGGAGAUGAAGAACACGAUACAUGAAAUACAAAAUACACUAGAUGGAAUAAACGGGUUAGAGGAAGCCGAGGGGCGAGUUAGCAACGCGGAGGACGGGGUGAUGGAAAGUAUCAGGCUGAGCAAGUAAGAGAAAGUGCAAAAUGGGGGGGGGACAUAGGGAACUCAGGGACUCCGUUGAGAAUCCUAACAUUCGCACUGCAGGGAUCCCAGAAGAGGAGAGAGAAAAGGCAGAAGAUUUACCUGAAGAAGUAGCCGAAAACUUCCCUAAUUUGGGGAAGGAAACAAAAAUCCCUCCAAGAGGCGCACGGAGCUCCCAACAAAAUCAACCCAAGGAGGUCCACGCAAAAAGUAGCAACAAAGGAAACAUGUUACAAGCCACGAAAGAAAAGACGACAGUGACACACGAGGGAAACCCUGUAAGGCUACUGGUGGGCUUUUCAGCAGAAAUCCCAGCCAGAAGGGAGCGGCACGAUACAAAGUGCCGAAGGGGAAAACGUGCAGCCGAGAAUUCUCCAUCCUGCAAGGCCGUCGUUCAGAAUGGCGCUUGCUUUGGGAGCACAUGUACUAAAGUCAGGACACCACAGAGAAGAUUAGCACGGCCCCUGCAUGUAACAGAAGGAGAGAUGAAGACCUUGCCAGGCAAACAAAAACCGAAGGGCUCAUGGCCACUGAAGCAGCCCUGCGGGAAACAUUAAAGGGGACCCUCUGAGUGGAAAAAAGACCGUAAGUGAGAGUAUGAAAAGUAAGAAGCACAGAAGCAGUGAAAAUGUGUCUGUAAAACUCAGUCAAGGGAGUCCCAAAAUCAAAGGAUGUAAAGUGUGACACCAUAUGCUCAAAUCUGGGGCGGUGGGGAAAGGAGCAGAAAGGGCUCAAACUUAAGCGACCAUCAACUUAACGUAGACUGCUGUAUGCAAAAGAUGUUAUGUACGAAGCCGAUGGGAACCACAAAUCAAGAACCAGUAAUAGAUACACACAGAAUAAAUAAAAAGAACCCAAGUGUAUCAUUGAAGAAAGCCAACAGAUCAUGAAAGAAAGCAAGAAAGGAUCACAGAAAAACUUCGUAGCCACCAAACAAGUAUUGAAGUGGCAAUAAGUACAUAUCCAUCAAUAAUUACUUGAAUGCAAGUGGACUGAACGCUCCACCGAAAAGGCACAGGGUGACAGAGUGAAUAAAAAAACAAGACCUAUCCAUAUGCUACGUACAAGAGACUCAUCUCAGACCUAAGGACGCCUGAAGACUGAAAGCGAGUAGACGGAGAAACACUUGAUACAGAUGGGUGUUAAGAGAAAGCCAGGGCAGAAAUGCUUCUACAAGACAACACAGGCUUUAACACAGACUGUAACAAGAGACACAGAAGGACACUAUAUGAUAAUAAAGGAGACGGGGCUGCUUGGGUGGCUCAGUCGGUUGAGUGACUCCUGAUCUUGGCUCAGGUUGUGAUUCACGGUUCAUGGGACUGAGCCCCAUGUUGGGCUCCGUGAGGACAGCCUGCUUGGGAGUCUGUCUCUCUCUGUCCCUCCCCCACCCAUGCUCCCUUCUUUCUCUCAAAAUAAAUAAAUGAACAUUAAAAACAAUAAUAAAGACGACAAUCCAACAACAUAUAACGAUAGUAAAUAUUUGUGCACCCCAAAUGGGAGCAACCAAAUACACAAAACAGUUAAUAACAGAAAGAAACUGAUAAUAAUAGGGGACUUUAUCACCUUACUUACAUCAAUGGACAGAUUAUCCAAACAGAAUCAAUAAGGAAACGGUGGCUUUGAAUGACACACUGGACCAGAUGGGUCUAACAGAUAUAUUCAGAACAUUCUAUCCUACAACAGUAGAAUACACAUUCUUUUCAAGCGCACACAGAACAUCCUCCUGAACAGAUCGCAUAUUAGGCGACAAAGCAAGUCUCAACAAAUUCAAAGAGUUCGAAGUCACACUGUGCGUCCUUUCUGACCACGACGCUACGAAAUGAGAGAUCAACCACAAGAAAAAAUCUGGAAAGACCACAAACACAUGGAGAUUAAAUAACAUGUUACUGAACAAUGAGUGGGUCAACCAAGAAAUCAAAGAAAUAAAAAAUUACAUAGAAACAAAUGAAAAUGAAAUCACAAAGCUCCAAAACCUCUGGGAUACAGCAAAAGCUGUUCUAAGAGGGAAGUUUAGUGCAACAGAGGACUAUCUCAAAUAAACCACCUAAUCUUACACCUAAAAGAGGUAUAUAAAAAGAAGAAUAAACAAAGCCCCAAACCAGAAGGAAGGAAAUAGUAAAGAUUAGAGCAAAAAUAAACGAUAUAGAAACUUAAAAAACCCAA
Long non-coding RNA from Felis catus (domestic cat), 12423 nucleotides. RefSeq lists it as uncharacterized. The transcript has 9 exons. NCBI's taxonomy places the organism in Eukaryota, Metazoa, Chordata, Mammalia, Carnivora, Felidae. The record is from RefSeq and is a predicted model, not a curated record.